GGUUGUUGCUGGCCCCCA
This 18-nucleotide ribosomal RNA is filed under the name uncultured Thelephora. Its description in RNAcentral is "partial 18S ribosomal RNA". The record is from RNAcentral. Lineage: Eukaryota; Fungi; Basidiomycota; Agaricomycetes; Thelephorales; Thelephoraceae.